CAGUCGCCGCGGUAAUGCGUAGGGUGCAAGCGUUAAUCGGAAUUACUGGGCGUAAAGCGUGCGCAGGCGGUUAUAUAAGUCAGAUGUGAAAUCCCCGGGCUCAACCUGGGAACUGCAUUUGAGACUGUAUGGCUAGAGUGUGUCAGAGGGGGGUAGAAUUCCACGUGUAGCAGUGAAAUGCGUAGAUAUGUGGAGGAAUACCGAUGGCGAAGGCAGCCCCCUGGGAUAACACUGACGCUCAUGCACGAAAGCGUGGGGAGCAAACAGGAUUAGAUACCCCAGUAGUCCCUGUCUCUUAUAC
RNAcentral lists this ribosomal RNA (301 nucleotides) under uncultured bacterium. RNAcentral's name for it is "partial 16S ribosomal RNA". It matches the Rfam family "Bacterial small subunit ribosomal RNA", at positions 509 to 807 of the family's 1533-position model. The record is from RNAcentral.